CCUACGGGUGGCAGCAGUGGGGAAUAUUGGACAAUGGGCGAAAGCCUGAUCCAGUCAUGCCGCGUGUGUGAAGAAGGCCUUCGGGUUGUAAAGCACUUUCAGUGGGGAAGAAAGCCUUGGGGCUAAUACCCUCGAGGAAGGACAUCACCCACAGAAGAAGCACCGGCUAACUCCGUGCCAGCAGCCGCGGUAAUACGGAGGGUGCGAGCGUUAAUCGGAAUUACUGGGCGUAAAGCGCGCGUAGGCGGUCUGAUAAGCCGGUUGUGAAAGCCCCGGGCUCAACCUGGGAACGGCAUCCGGAACUGUCAGGCUAGAGUGCAGGAGAGGAUGGUAGAAUUCCCGGUGUAGCGGUGAAAUGCGUAGAGAUCGGGAGGAAUACCAGUGGCGAAGGCGGCCUUCUGGACUGACACUGACGCUGAGGUGCGAAAGCGUGGGUAGCAAACAGGAUUAGAUACCCCUGUAGUC
This 465-nucleotide ribosomal RNA is filed under the name Vreelandella stevensii. Its description in RNAcentral is "partial 16S ribosomal RNA". It matches the Rfam family "Bacterial small subunit ribosomal RNA", at positions 338 to 795 of the family's 1533-position model. The record is from RNAcentral. Lineage: Bacteria; Pseudomonadati; Pseudomonadota; Gammaproteobacteria; Oceanospirillales; Halomonadaceae.